AUGCCAGGGCUUCACAGCUGGAUGUGCUGGAGGUUCUGUGCUUCAGAGACAGGGCUCUACAAGGGAGCUGCUCGAUUCGGCCCAGCAUCAUCUUUGGUGUCAAGCUGCCCGACCUCACGGUGUCUGCAGACUGUAAAGGGCUACAACAUGAGCAUCCCAAUGCCAGGCCACCCGGUUAACUUUUCUGAGCUGACGAUGGCUCAAGCUCAGCAGGAUGUGGAACAGCUGGAGAAGCUUAUCUCUGAACACAAUGUUAGAGUCGCUGGCUUCUGACAGUCAUCGCUGCAAGCCAGAGAAAGGUAGCAUCCUCCCUCCAGUCUUUCUGUAUCCUGUAUUCAUUUAUUUUUCUGCUCACAUGGCUGCCUGACUUUUUAUUGUAGGUUAUUGUCACAGUUUUUGGUAAUUGCUACACAGAGUUUGUGCCACAUAUCUGAUUUAAGAACCUUUAACUACAAAUAACCCCUGCAUGACAUAAUAAGAGUUUUUUUUGUAUUUUACGCAUAUCAUUCUAAAAUAGGCACAUAUGUAUGUUUAUUAUUUUUAUUAUUAAUGAAUAAAUAAAUAUAUAUAAAUAAAUAAAAAUGUAUCAUAUUGAUAUGACUUAGUCUGUGUGUAAUUGCAUAUUAAAUAUAGUAUGUGCAAAAAAAUGCAGUCCAACAAACCUACCAGUUGCAGAAGAAAUUGCAUUGGAAUUUUGACUUUAAGUUUGCUUAAUUGAAACCUAAAUACGUGUGCUUCAAUGCAAAAUAUAAACAUUCUGACAGGUGUUUAAUUUUCUUUAAUAAAAAAUAAAAUAAGACCUGACAUAAGGUAGAGAUUUCACAUGAUUCAAAAACAUAGACUAUCUAUUGGAUAUGUUGUCAAUCACCUACAUUUGAAUAGAAAAGUGGAAGCAAUAUGCCACUGAAUUAUAAAAAUAGCUGUUAUUAAUAAUAAUAGUAUAGCUGCUAGGCCCCAAAGUCUGACAGCAAAUUCAACCUAAAAUCCAGUUUGAACUUGGAAAAUAACAACAUUUUGGAAUAGUUUUGUGUAAAAGCUUUUGGUUUACCUUCAGUGAUAUUGAGACUGUGAACCUUUUUAGAGAGUUAAUUAUGGCUCUCUUUCUCUGCAGUUGAUAGUUAAUGCUGCUCUGGGUUUGACACGUUUGUUGUAAUGAGACACAGCCUUAAGAAACCCAAAGAUUCACAGUCUGAAGAGUCCCCUUGUCUGCUUCCUCUAGCUCCUCGUCUUCCUCCACACCAGGUACAGCUGAAGCGUGUGUUUUCCACAGCUUGUGCUAUUGUUUAGUUAAAGUGUGUAAACCCAGAACAGAGGUCUACAGUAAACAUCAAAUGCAAAAUGUCAAGUCAUCACAGUUAAAGGAAUAGUUCACACAAAAAUGAACAUGAGCUGAAAAUGUGCUUACACUUAGGCCUUCCAAAUCUGGAGAAAUGUAGCAUUGCAUCAGUGUCUCAUCAAUGGAUGCUCUGCAGUGAAUGGGUGCCGUCAGAAUGAGAGUCUGAUAUAAACUUUACAAUAAUCCACAGUAAUCCAGUCCAUCAGUGAACAUCUGGAGAAGACAAAACCUGAAACACAUCCAGCAUUAAGAUGUAACUUGCACGUUUGUUAUCCAGCCACACAUUUGUUUAGAGCUGUUCUGGACUGUCUAGGCUUGUAAACAAUGCUUGAUCUGAAGAUGUUAAUUGAUGGAACAGAAUUGUGUAGAUUACAGUCAGUCUGUCUGAGGAACAAUAAAGCAUUAGGGGAAAUCCACACAAAGCACAUUCACACGGUUCCACCUGCCAUAUUUUGAACAUUGUGGACAUAUCUUAUGCUUUAAUCGUCUUGCACCGUGAGUGCUGUGUUCUUAAGACUGUUAAGUUACUUCUUUAAGAGUCAAGAGCCCUGCUUUGUUGUAGUCUUCUCGCUCUGUUGAUCUCACAUCUCUGAUAACUCAUCUGUAGUGACUGCUGGAGCAGGUGCGCCUCAGGAAACAUCAUCAAGCUGCUGCUUCAAGCCUGAAGCGCUCUGGUCAUCUCUAUAGCUCUGGUGGAAAAUUACUCAUUUCUUGGGAGUCA
Carassius auratus (goldfish) is the source of this 2057-nucleotide long non-coding RNA. The record is from Ensembl. NCBI's taxonomy places the organism in Eukaryota, Metazoa, Chordata, Actinopteri, Cypriniformes, Cyprinidae.